UUUUUUUUUUUUUUUUUUGAGAUGGAGUCUCCCUCUGUCACCCAGGUUGGAGUGCAGUGGCGUGAUCUUGGCUCACUGCAGCCUCUGCCUCCUGGGUUCCAGUGAUUCUCCUGCUUCAGUCUCCUAGGCAGCUGAGAUUACAGGCCUAAAUGGCAAUUUCUCUUCAUAGAUGUGAACAGGCUGAGAGAUGAUGGAAUGGACUGGGCUUCCUGGGGUUCAUCAUUACUCUCUACUGCUAGGACUUGGCACGUUUGUUCUGCAUGGUUCCAUGAGCAUAAAAUAAAAACGAGCCAAGUCUUUUAAUGUGGGAGAUGCAUUUGAAAUCAGGACAACGAGUAAAUAUACUUAAAGACAUCAAAACAAGUUCAAUUAAACCUUAGGCCCUACUGAGUGGCGGCCACAGUUCAUGGACAAUUUAGCUGUGUGACCUCAGGUUAAAUCUCUCAACCUUGCCUGUGUUUCCUGUAAAUGGGAACAACAACACUUUAUAAAGUACUUCACACAAAUGGGUAAGUAUAUGAAACAAUAUACAAAAUUUAGUAUAGUCAUGGCAAACUAAGUUUUUGUGGGGCCUGAAGCUUGCACAAUUUGGGAGUCCUAUUUAAAAAAAAAAAAGAAUAUAGGAUUUCAAAAGCAAGCACAGGGCUGGGAGGGGGUCCCUGAGCCCUGCUCUCCUCGCACAGGAAAUCCACCUUUGUGCAGUUACUCUGUUUAUUUUAAGCCUGGGGGGAGCAGAGCAAUUGCUUCCUUCAUGUGGAGGUGUCCACCGGUGGCUCUGUCAUCGGGCGUGUGCAUGACUGUACUUCCCUCUGCCGCAGACACCUCAGCCGCCGUCUAGCCAGGCGAACCUGUUUGGUGUGCUCACUGCGUGAUGAAGGCGGGUGUGGCUCCCAGGGGGAGUGUCCCGCCUCCAGAACACGGCCAGAGGCUACAGAAUCAGACUUUUGCCAAAGGAAGAAAGAGCGCCCGAGGCAUGUGUUCACGGGGCAACUAUGAAAGGCUUGACUGGGAGGAGCCUCCACUAUCUUUUCAGUUCAGCCUUUUAGUCUCAAAAAUGGAAGAGGCAAAGCUCAAUUCUUAAAGAUCACUUCUUAAAAGAUAAUCCCAUCUGCCUCCAUCCUCAUCAAAUUGCAUAUCAGAAAUGGUAGUUUUGGGGUUGCUCUCAGACCCGAGCCUGCUCCAAAGUGAACAGCAAGGACAUAGACCCUGACUUUUCAGCCAGGACUUGGUGCUAGGUUUAUUUUUAUGAAAACAAAACAAAACAGCAACAACAACCAAAACAAUGCUAUUUCAGUGAGUUGAAAGAUCUAAACUCUUUUUUUUUUUCUUUUUUGAGACUGAGUCUUGCUCUGUCGCCCAGGCUGGAGUGCAGUGGCGCUAUCCCAGCCAACUGCAACCUCUGUCUCCCAGGUUCAAGUGAUUCUCCUGCCUCAGCCUCCCGAGUAGCUGGGCCUACAGGCACCCGCCACUAUGCCUGGCUAAUUUUUGUAUUUUUAGUAGAGACAGGGUUUCACCGUGUUAGCCAGGAUGGUCUUGAUCUCCUGACCUCGUAAUCCGCUCACCUCAGCCCCCUAAAGUGCUGGAAUUAUAGGCAUGAGCCACCAC
Molecule: long non-coding RNA, 1605 nt
Organism: Macaca fascicularis (crab-eating macaque)
Lineage: Eukaryota; Metazoa; Chordata; Mammalia; Primates; Cercopithecidae
Source: Ensembl